Mauremys mutica (yellowpond turtle) is the source of this 643-nucleotide long non-coding RNA. RefSeq lists it as uncharacterized. Lineage: Eukaryota; Metazoa; Chordata; Testudines; Geoemydidae. The record is from RefSeq and is a predicted model, not a curated record. The transcript has 4 exons.
GUCUCCUCACUGAGAACAGGCUUUGAAACUUGGAGUAUUCUUCUGGAGGCAAAAGGCCACUGUUUUGAUGUUCAUAGGAGGCCUGUAUGUCCUCAGGUUGGCCCUGUGAAGGAUUACAGGAUUACUGUCCAGUGAGAUCCAUUCGAUAGCUACUUAUGGCACCGUUGCAAGCAAUAAUUUUCAGAGGGAGUUGGAUGCAAUCCUAAGUGUUUACCCCACCUCCAUUGCAAAGAGCCCAGUGGAUACGUCUGCAUGUCCGGAGACAGUGGCAAGUGGCCUUAGCCAGGAGGAGGAGGAGGAGGAGGAGGUCAUAGAUGAAGAGAAGGAGGCUGAGGAAGCUGUGGAGCCAGUUGCUGUGUGCACUCAGGACCCCUUCUCCACUCUGGAGGUGUCUAGCCAGUGUGAGCGGCCACUGUCUGCUGAGGCAGAGGCAGGAGAGCAGAGCUCUGAAAUGACUCUGGAAGACCCACCCCUCACUGUAGCAGAGCGUCUGCGAUGCAUUAGAAAGCAGCCAAGAUGCACUAAAGCAGACAUGUUUCGUGAUUCUGCACUCGCAAGCGGAGAUACAUGAUAAAAAUAAAUGGAGAGAAACCAUGUCAAAGUGGGAAAAGGGAGAGAACAGAGACCGAAAAGAGAAUAAUAC